GACGAACGCUGGCGGCGUGCUUAACACAUGCAAGUCGAACGGAAAGGCCCUGCUUUUGUGGGGUGCUCGAGUGGCGAACGGGUGAGUAACACGUGAGUAACCUGCCCUUGACUUUGGGAUAACUUCAGGAAACUGGGGCUAAUACCGGAUAGGAGCUCCUGCUGCAUGGUGGGGGUUGGAAAGUUUCGGCGGUUGGGGAUGGACUCGCGGCUUAUCAGCUUGUUGGUGGGGUAGUGGCUUACCAAGGCUUUGACGGGUAGCCGGCCUGAGAGGGUGACCGGCCACAUUGGGACUGAAAUACGGCCCAGACUCCUACGGGAGGCAACAGUGGGGAAUAUUGCACAAUGGGCGGAAGCCUGAUGCAGCAGCGCCGCGUGCGGGAUGACGGCCUUCGGGUUGUAAACCGCUUUCGCCUGUGACGAAGCGCGAGUGACGGUAAUGGGUAAAGAAGCACCGGCUAACUACGUG
Molecule: ribosomal RNA, 468 nt
Filed under: uncultured bacterium
Lineage: Bacteria
Description: partial 16S ribosomal RNA
Rfam family: Bacterial small subunit ribosomal RNA
Source: RNAcentral